Molecule: ribosomal RNA, 67 nt
Filed under: Caulerpa denticulata
Lineage: Eukaryota; Viridiplantae; Chlorophyta; Ulvophyceae; Bryopsidales; Caulerpaceae
Description: Caulerpa scalpelliformis var. denticulata partial 28S ribosomal RNA
Source: RNAcentral
GCAAGAAAACCGCUUAACCUUAGCCUAAUACUUAACCGAAGGAAAAAAAACCAAUUUGAAGGCCCAU